Molecule: ribosomal RNA, 429 nt
Filed under: Acidobacteriota bacterium
Lineage: Bacteria; Pseudomonadati; Acidobacteriota
Description: Acidobacteria bacterium partial 16S ribosomal RNA
Rfam family: Bacterial small subunit ribosomal RNA
Source: RNAcentral
UGGGGAAUUUUGGACAAUGGGGGAAACCCUGAUCCAGCCAUCCCGCGUGUGCGAUGAAGGCCUUCGGGUUGUAAAGCACUUUUGGCAGGAAAGAAACGUCAUGGGUUAAUACCCCGUGAAACUGACGGUACCUGCAGAAUAAGCACCGGCUAACUACGUGCCAGCAGCCGCGGUAAUACGUAGGGUGCAAGCGUUAAUCGGAAUUACUGGGCGUAAAGCGUGCGCAGGCGGUUCGGAAAGAAAGAUGUGAAAUCCCAGAGCUCAACUUUGGAACUUCAUUUUUAACUACCUGGCUAGAGUGUGUCAGAGGGAGGUGGAAUUCCGCGUGUAGCAGUGAAAUGCGUAGAUAUGCGGAGGAACACCGAUGGCGAAGGCAGCCUCCUGGGAUAACACUGACGCUCAUGCACGAAAGCGUGGGGAGCAAACAGG